Molecule: long non-coding RNA, 950 nt
Filed under: Cicer arietinum (chickpea)
Lineage: Eukaryota; Viridiplantae; Streptophyta; Magnoliopsida; Fabales; Fabaceae
Description: long non-coding RNA (CARI_LNC000388)
Source: RNAcentral
UUCAAAUUCAAGCUAAGUAAAAAAUAAUGAUUGAUGGUAUCUCAACUUGCUUCAACAGUGACUAACUGAGUCCCCAAAAUCCAUCAUGCCCCUAUCUUCUCAUUCUUGCAAUGGAAUAACUAACAAAUUCAAUAUUCUAUAUAUGAAAAUUUUCCAAUACAAUAAUGAAAACUAUUUCAAAGUAUAGGAUGACCCCAAAUUAUGUGCAGCACAAUGCAAAUUAAAUUUUAGAAAGAGUUCACUCAACUCCCACAUUUUAAUCAUGUAUUCAUUACAAUUACAUAAAAUCUAGUCAUUUGCUAAAAAAUAUUAAAUUAUUUCUAACAUACUUUAAUCUCAUACUUGACAAAAAGUUGUUAUUUUCAUCGCAUUUGAAUUUGACCACUUGAGAGUAUGAUAGGAAGCUUUAUUUGGAGUCACCAUCCUUCAGCUAUAUCUUAUUAUAAAUAUUUGUUUCCAUACACAUAUAAUUCAUUUGCUUUAUUUUUUGUGAUUCCCUCUUAUCCUUUUUGAUAGUGAAACUAUUGACAAAUUCCACCAUUUGUUGUCAAUUAAUGUUCCACCUCAAGCUCUCUUUGGCAGCUUCUCAAUAUUUUCUUUGCAACUAACCAAUAUUUAUAUAAAAGAUUUUGUUCUGAGGAUAUUGAAGGAGUUAUAAUUAGCCUCAAGUGGAUGUAAAUGAUCGUUGACUUAUUAAUGAUGUUAAAAUUUGAUUAAAGGCAUGGCCAUUGGGACAAGUUCUAUAUUAAUUUAUACACUUGCAUCAAAAGUAUCGUAAUAUCAAAUUGAAAAGGUAUAAUUUAAAAUAAAAUAAAAGGUAUUAGGUAAUUAUUGAUUUAUAAAUUCAUAUAGUUCCAUCUAGCUCUAUGUAAGCAAAAUAAUCGAAUUAAAUUAAUAGUGACGCAUAUUUCAAUUUGAUAAAGAAAAUCAUAUGUUCAACAUCGAUUUAG